This 43-nucleotide small nuclear RNA is filed under the name Cervus elaphus hippelaphus. The record is from RNAcentral. Lineage: Eukaryota; Metazoa; Chordata; Mammalia; Artiodactyla; Cervidae.
AUACUUACCUGAUAGGAGAGAUACUAUGAUAACCAUAGUUUUC